AUAAAUAGUGACAUAAUGAUGGUGUUCCAAGCAAAUCAUGCUCGAGUUCAAGUUUUUGGUGCCGUAGCUUGUCUCUCCUGUCCUAUUAGGGUCCUGUUUGCAUCCAACCAGUUGUUUCCAAGAGCUAGGCUUUGAUACUUAAAAUAAGAACCACUAUGGGUAUUUCUAGUUAUAGUUUCUUUCUAGUUUUAUUUGUUGUCAUAAUCCCAACCCUAGAAGCUCAUAUCGCUGAGUAUGACGAGUACUGGACGGCACGAGAAUUGGAAGCCAUUGAGAACCUGGACAAGGCCUAUCACUCCAACCCGGAGGAGGUGGUCCGCCAUUACAAUGACCACUUCUCUAGGACCUAUGCUCGAGUUUUAUAUCACCAAAAGGGUGUUGGCAGAAUCAAAAAAGGGUCCCUGUGAGGUUACCAACCACGUUGACAGUUGCUGGCGAUGUGAUCCUGACUGGGAAAAGAAUAGGAAGAAGUUGGCCAACUGUGCCCCUGGAUUUGCUCGAGGUACUACCGGUGGAAAGGAUGGUGAGUUUUACGUGGUCACUGACCCUAUUGAUAAUGCUGCUGACCCCAAGCCUGGAACUCUAGCGUCAUGCUGUCACCCAAACUGGACCACUUUGGAUCACUUUCAAAGGGUCCAUGACCAUCAAGCUGCAACAGGAGCUCAUUGUUACAAGUGAUAAGACCAUUGAUGCGAGGGGAGCCAAUGUGGAAAUUUGUAAUGGUGCUGGUAUCACUAUCCAAUUUGUGAAGAAUAUCAUUAUCCAUGGCCUUCAAAUCCAUCACAUUAUUCCCGCCAAGGGUGGCAAGAUCAAGGAUGGUGAAAACCACCAUGGGUUACGGGGUGACAGCGACGGAGACGGGGUGUCUAUUUUCGGAUCAACCAAUGUUUGGCUUGACCAUCUUGCCCUUCACCAUUGCGCCGAUGGCCUUAUCGAUGUCGUUCAAGGAUCAACUGCCGUUACCGUUUCUAACUGCCACUUCACUGACCAUAACGAUGUAAGCUUACUUUCCUUUCAAUUUUAAACUACGCACGAUGAGGAAUUUUUUGAUUGACAAAAAUAAUACAAUUGAAAUGAAAAAAAUUACAGGUGAUGUUGUUUGGAGCAAGCGACUCUUACAGUGCCGACAAGAAGAUGCAGGUCACUGUUGCUUUGAACCACUUCGGUAAAGGAUUGGUAGAGAGGAUGCCUAGGUGCCGAUUUGGUUUUAUUCAUGUCGUCAACAAUGACUACAAUCACUGGUUCCUGUAUGCCAUUGGCGGCACCAGCAAUCCUACAAUUAUCAGCCAGGGAAAUAGGUAUUCAGCGCCAGGCUUUGGGGCUAAAGAGGUGACCUGUAGGGGCCUCUUAAAGCCGGGACAGUGGAAGAAUUGGAAUUGGGUAUCACAAGGUGACCACUUCGAGAACGGUGCCUUUUUUACACCAUCAGGUAAUCCAAGUGCCAGCAAGCAAUUUGGCGCCGACAAAAUGAUGCCUUUCAAACCUGGUCAAAUGGUCCCCGAACUCACAAAGUAUGCCGGACCACUAAGCUGCACAAUCGGCCGUCCUUGCUAAAAACUGCUAUUUUUAUAUGCAUAUGUCCUCCCUUUUUUACGUACAAUAUUUGAUACCCAAGCAUAGUACAUUUGGUAUCUUUUCUGAAUGAUUGUCAGUAAAUUUUCUUUUAUGCGAUCCCACCCUAUUCUCUUCUUCUCUCCUAGUAAUAGAUAAUCACAAUUUUUUUCUCACGCGUAACUGUGGAAAUCAUAAAUUUAGAACAUAAAUGUUUGUUUGAAAAUAACAUAUAAUGAAUAAUGAAAUGUGUGGUUUGAAAUAAAGUAACAAUAAUAACAUUGAUUAUCAUGGUGUUUUCAUCAAUCUUUAGUUGGUGUAGGCACCAAAUCAAUCAAAUACAUUAAUCUAACAUAUCUAGUAUAUAUAUUCUAUUGCAAGGUUUUUUUGGAUUUGUGGAAACCUUCAGUUUGAAGUGAGUUUAGAAUUCGCUAUGCGUCACCAAUCAUUUCAUGACAGGAAUGGAAAUUAAUGAAAUAAAAUAUUUGGUUAGAACUAAAGUUGCGUAAUUAAUUAAAAAUUUUAACAAUCGCGAGACCAUUUAGUUUCUAUAAAUUUUGUAUGUCCCAACUUACAUAUUCCGGGUAAUUAGUCAUUUGUCAAAACACAUCAAAGUGAGAAAAGAAAGAAACAAGAAUCAUGAGUCAUUCCUCAUAUAGUAAUAUUCGUAAUAAUGCAAUCGCAACGGUGAUUCCACCAGGUGUUCUUGCAUCACCAAGAACUAAAUUGAUUUUCUAGAACAAGAUUUAUAAUGGAGACAUCAAGUAUGUAUUUAAGGUUGUGUAUGAGUUAGAUUUCUUUAAGACUCAGCGGAGGGUCGGGGAGCCGCCCAAGACAUUGCUUUUACCAGUAUAAAGUCAACUACCGAAGCAAAAAAACUUGCAAAGCUGAGAGGACAUAGGAUUAAUAAUUCAGCACCUAUGUUUUGAGUUGCUCCAUAGUUGACGCAGUGGUAUUAGCUUAGUAAGGGCUUAAAUAAUCGUAUAGAUAUUUAUAAUUGAUGGACAUAAUAAAGUAUGCUUAACAAAUUUGAAAAUCAAAAAAGAAAAUCAAUGUCUUGGUACAGUGUUAAAUUUAUGGUUUUACUAGCAUAAUAAUUGAUUUGGGUUCAAAUCCCUUCGACAACAUAUUUUAUAUUCUUUUAAAACAAUAAGAAUUAAAAUAACCUUCAAUAAUAUAACUUAUUUUAAACAUGAAAGGAAUGUAUUUCUAAUUUCCGUAAUAGAGUCGAUGCUCGAUCGACUCAUGUCACCGAAUUAGUUAAGGACUUCAAUAAAUGUUAGUAUAGAUUGUAACAAUAAUGAAAUAUGCAUUAAAAAUCACCACAGAGGUUCAAUAUACACUCGAAUCUCUGUACUCUUUUAGACUUUUAAAAUUUGAAUACAUAGUACUUUUAUAUUCAAAGGUCCAAGUAAUAAAUUAGAGUCCAAUUCAUAUCACAUAUUCAGAUUUGAGAGAAAUAAAUAAACUCUCUUACCAAUUGAACUUUUAUUUUUUAAAUCAACCAAGUGCAAGGAUUAAAAUCUUGAAAUUGAAAGGAGAGAGGUUUCAUCUGGAAAUGUUGAAGAGUAAAGGGAUUGGAGGAUAAUUAGAGAUUUUUUUUUGUAAUUUCUGAAAUUAGACGUUUAGAAUGGUCUAAAAAAUACAAGAAAACCUCAACUGUUUCUAUCCAAAAAAAGGAAACAAAAUCCAACCAUUUUUUACGCACUUGAAACACUAGUAGCCAAGUGUGUUUUGUAAAUUUGGAAAUUUUCAUGAAUCCCGGUGUACUAUAAAUAGUGACAUAAUGAUGGUGUUCCAAGCAAAUCAUGCUCGAGUUCAAGUUUUUGGUGCCGUAGCUUGUCUCUCCUGUCCUAUUAGGGUCCUGUUUGCAUCCAACCAGUUGUUUCCAAGAGCUAGGCUUUGAUACUUAAAAUAAGAACCACUAUGGGUAUUUCUAGUUAUAGUUUCUUUCUGUUUUUAUUUGUUGUCAUAAUCCCAACCCUAGAAGCUCAUAUCGCUGAGUAUGACGAGUACUGGACGGCACGAGAAUUGGAAGCCAUUGAGAACCUGGACAAGGCCUAUCACUCCAACCCGGAGGAGGUGGUCCGCCAUUACAAUGACCACUUCUCUAGGACCAUGCUCGAGUUUUAUAUCACCAAAAGGGUGUUGGCAGAAUCAAAAAAGGGUCCCUGUGAGGUUACCAACCACGUUGACAGUUGCUGGCGAUGUGAUCCUGACUGGGAAAAGAAUAGGAAGAAGUUGGCCAACUGUGCCCCUGGAUUUGCUCGAGGUACUACCGGUGGAAAGGAUGGUGAGUUUUACGUGGUCACUGACCCUAUUGAUAAUGCUGCUGACCCCAAGCCUGGAACUCUGCGUCAUGCUGUCACCCAAACUGGACCACUUUGGAUCACUUUCAAAGGGUCCAUGACCAUCAAGCUGCAACAGGAGCUCAUUGUUACAAGUGAUAAGACCAUUGAUGCGAGGGGAGCCAAUGUGGAAAUUUGUA
This 4039-nucleotide long non-coding RNA is filed under the name Gossypium barbadense (sea-island cotton). RNAcentral's name for it is "long non-coding RNA (GBAR_LNC016477)". The record is from RNAcentral. Lineage: Eukaryota; Viridiplantae; Streptophyta; Magnoliopsida; Malvales; Malvaceae.